AUUGACUUUCGCGCCUUCCGGAAAUAAAUGAAUUAAAAUCCAAUUAAACAUACCAAUAAAAUAACCAAUUGUUAAAACCUAUUCAUUUCAGCUGCUAGUCGUUCGAUUAAAGAAAGUUAAUCGCUUAAUUCAACGCGUUACCAACAGUUUUGUGCCAAAGAAAAAAAACGCUCGAGAACUUUCUGGAAAAAGGCCGAAAUGAAACUCGCAGUUCGGUUAUUGCUGAUUAAACUCACUUAGUACUUAGAUUUUUACUUGCGUAUGCUCCAGUUGCAGCUAAAGUGGUAGUCGACUAAUAACAAUAUUUUCACUCAAUUCGGUCGGUUAAAAUACGCGCAAAAG
RNAcentral lists this long non-coding RNA (342 nucleotides) under Drosophila guanche. Lineage: Eukaryota; Metazoa; Arthropoda; Insecta; Diptera; Drosophilidae. The record is from RNAcentral.